ACGAACGCUGGCGGCGUGCUUCACACCUGCCAGUCGAACGGAAAGGCCCUGCUUUUGUGGGGUGCUCGAGUGGCGAACGGGUGAGUAACACGUGAGUAACCUGCCCUUGACUUUGGGAUAACUUCAGGAAACUGGGGCUAAUACCGGAUAGGAGCUCCUGCUGCAUGGUGGGGGUUGGAAAGUUUCGGCGGUUGGGGAUGGACUCGCGGCUUAUCAGCUUGUUGGUGGGGUAGUGGCUUACCAAGGCUUUGACGGGUAGCCGGCCUGAGAGGGUGACCGGCCACAUUGGGACUGAGAUACGGCGCAGACUCCUACGGGAGGCAGCAGUGGGGAAUAUUGCACAAUGGGCGGAAGCCUGAUGCAGCAACGCCGCGUGCGGGAUGACGGCCUUCGGGUUGUAAACCGCUUUCGCCUGUGACGAAGCGUGAGUGACGGUAAUGGGUAAAGAAGCACCGGCUAACUACGUG
Molecule: ribosomal RNA, 467 nt
Filed under: uncultured bacterium
Lineage: Bacteria
Description: partial 16S ribosomal RNA
Rfam family: Bacterial small subunit ribosomal RNA
Source: RNAcentral